RNAcentral lists this ribosomal RNA (466 nucleotides) under uncultured bacterium. RNAcentral describes it as "partial 16S ribosomal RNA". It matches the Rfam family "Bacterial small subunit ribosomal RNA", at positions 28 to 507 of the family's 1533-position model. The record is from RNAcentral.
GAUGAACGCUGGCGGCGUGCUUAACACAUGCAAGUCGAACGAUGAAGCCCAGCUUGCUGGGUGGAUUAGUGGCGAACGGGUGAGUAACACGUGAGUAACCUGCCCUUGACUCUGGGAUAAGCGCUGGAAGCGGCGUCUAAUACCGGAUACGAGCUUCCACCGCAUGGUGAGUUGCUGGAAAGAAUUUCGCUCAAGGAUGGACUCGGGGCCGAUCAGGUAGUUGGUGUGGUAAUGGCUCACGAAGCCGCCGACGGGUAGCCGGCCUGAGAGGGUGACUGGCCACACUGGGAAUGUAACACGGCCCAGACCCGAGCGGGCGGCAGCAGUGGGGAAUGUUGCACAAUGGGCGCAGGCCUGAUGCAGCAACGCCGGGAGAGGGAGGAAGGCGCUCGGGUCGUAGACCUCUUUUAGCAGGAAAGAAGCGAGAGUGACGGUACCUGCAGAAAAAGCUCCGGCUAACUAGGUG